CUAAAAAGAAGUUCAUAAAUACGGGAUUGGUGUGAAGAGUCGUUCUCCUUCUUGUCGAAUAUCUCGGAUUCAAUUAUGAAAUUAAAACGGGAGAUAAGAGAAAAAUUCCACUUUUCUCAGAAAUAAGUCAGUUGACAUUGUCAUGCCAGUUACUCAGAGUUAUGGUGGAUAUAAAUAUAUGGAUGUUUCUGG
Molecule: long non-coding RNA, 192 nt
Organism: Centruroides sculpturatus (bark scorpion)
Lineage: Eukaryota; Metazoa; Arthropoda; Arachnida; Scorpiones; Buthidae
Exons: 3
Source: RefSeq, a predicted model, not a curated record